AUUGAACGCUGGCGGCAUGCCUUACACAUGCAAGUCGAACGGCAGCACGGGAGCAAUCCUGGUGGCGAGUGGCGAACGGGUGAGUAAUGCAUCGGAACGUGCCAUUGAGUGGGGGAUAACGUAGCGAAAGUUACGCUAAUACCGCAUAUUCUGUGCGCAGGAAAGCAGGGGAUCGCAAGACCUUGCGCUCUUUGAGCGGCCGAUGUCAGAUUAGCUAGUUGGUGGGGUAAAGGCUCACCAAGGCGACGAUCUGUAGCGGGUCUGAGAGGAUGAUCCGCCACACUGGGACUGAGACACGGCCCAGACUCCUACGGGAGGCAGCAGUGGGGAAUUUUGGACAAUGGGCGCAAGCCUGAUCCAGCAAUGCCGCGUGCAGGAAGAAGGCCUCGGUUGUAACU
This 398-nucleotide ribosomal RNA is filed under the name uncultured bacterium. Its description in RNAcentral is "bacterial SSU rRNA". It matches the Rfam family "Bacterial small subunit ribosomal RNA", at positions 30 to 431 of the family's 1533-position model. The record is from RNAcentral.